RNAcentral lists this small nuclear RNA (23 nucleotides) under Arabidopsis thaliana (thale cress). Its description in RNAcentral is "snRNA_15868". Lineage: Eukaryota; Viridiplantae; Streptophyta; Magnoliopsida; Brassicales; Brassicaceae. The record is from RNAcentral.
GGCUUUGAAAACUUCAAACCAUA